Molecule: ribosomal RNA, 468 nt
Filed under: uncultured bacterium
Lineage: Bacteria
Description: partial 16S ribosomal RNA
Rfam family: Bacterial small subunit ribosomal RNA
Source: RNAcentral
GACGAACGCUGGCGGCGUGCUUAACACAUGCAAGUCGAACGGAAAGGCCCUGCUUUUGUGGGGUGCUCGAGUGGCGAACGGGUGAGUAACACGCGAGUAACCUGCCCUUGACUUUGGGAUAACUUCAGGAAACUGGGGCUAAUACCGGAUAGGAGCUCCUGCUGCAUGGUGGGGGUUGGAAAGUUUCGGCGGUUGGGGAUGGACUCGCGGCUUAUCAGCUUGUUGGUGGGGUAGUGGCUUACCAAGGCUUUGACGGGUAGCCGGCCUGAGAGGGUGACCAGCCACAUUGGGACUGAGAUACGGCCCAGACUCCUACGGGAGGCAGCAGUGGGGAAUAUUGCACAAUGGGCGGAAGCCUGAUGCAGCAACGCCGCGUGCGGGAUGACGGCCUUCGGGUUGUAAACCGCUUUCGCCUGUGACGAAGCGUGAGUGACGGUAAUGGGUAAAGAAGCACCGGCUAACUACGUG